This 408-nucleotide ribosomal RNA is filed under the name uncultured bacterium. Its description in RNAcentral is "bacterial SSU rRNA". It matches the Rfam family "Bacterial small subunit ribosomal RNA", at positions 917 to 1322 of the family's 1533-position model. The record is from RNAcentral.
GGGCCCGCACAAGCGGUGGAGCAUGUGGUUUAAUUCGAAGCAACGCGAAGAACCUUACCAGUCCUUGACAUGGGUAGUUUGGAUUUUGGAGACAAUCUCCUUCAGUUCGGCUGGCUACCACACAGGUGCUGCACGGCUGUCGUCAGCUCGUGUCGUGAGAUGUUGGGUUAAGUCCCGCAACGAGCGCAACCCUCAUCUUUAGUUGCCAUCAGUUCGGCUGGGCACUCUAGAGAAACUGCCUGCGAUGAGCAGGAGGAAGGCGGGGACGACGUCAAGUCAUCAUGGCCCUUAUGGACUGGGCUACACACGUGCUACAAUGGUAGAGACAGAGGGCAGCCACCUGGCGACAGGGAGCGAAUCCUUAAACUCUAUCUCAGUUCGGAUCGGAGUCUGCAACUCGACUCCGUG